Molecule: long non-coding RNA, 2661 nt
Filed under: Triticum aestivum (bread wheat)
Lineage: Eukaryota; Viridiplantae; Streptophyta; Magnoliopsida; Poales; Poaceae
Description: long non-coding RNA (TAES_LNC001362)
Source: RNAcentral
CAGGUGGCCCCGUAAUGUUAGAUCAUAACAAAUUGGAUCCAUAAUAAAAAUAAAAAAUGUUACAAGCAGGGUCAGAUUUCUCGCACGUGAGACCAUAACAGGUUGGACCUGUACACAAACUCAUGAUAAGCUGGACCAUCAACUAAUAAAAAACAGGCUGCACCAUCCCACGAGUGAUCAAACCAUCCCAUAUAAUAAAAAAAUAGGGCGUACAGGGUAAGAAACAUGACCAAACUCUGAAGAUCCUGCCCACAAAAAAAACUAUACAAAGAUGCCAUCCCUCCAAACAAAUCCAAACUCUCAGAAAUUUGCAGAGAUUUGAUCUCUCCAAACAGAAUAUCUCUAGAUAGGACCAAAAUCUCAUGGUCGCAUGCAUAUAAAAAACCUCUCGGCAUCCGAACAACCUUGUACAUCAUCUUCCUCCAUUGAACAACACUUUAAGGUCAACUUCCUCCAACCAGUGGCACUUCGGCAUUGGGCACCAGCCGGCUCCGUUGAACAACUAGAUCACCUCCAGUAUGUACGAUCUGCAUGAAAUUAUAGAUCAGACCUAUUAAUGGAUAAUGAGAGGAUGUAGCCCACUAUACCCCCACAAAAAAAUGAAAAACAAAUGGAGACCCUCAAUUACUCUGGGCAGUGCUAAACUAAAAUAUUAUUCUAGCGUGAUCCUCUACUAUAUUUUGGGUUGUGGGAUGGCUUCAAUAGGCCUCAAAUCCAUUAAGAAGCACAUGACAGUGCAGUAUGGUAAUAACUUGGAGUUUGUAGAUUAGAUAAUGGUUCACAUAAUACUUUGCAUGAGUACCUCAGUAAUUUUGUCUAAUAAAGUACUCCCUCCGUUCCAAAAUAGAUGACCCAACUUUGUACUAACUUUAGUACAAAGUUGGGUCAUCCAUUUUGGAACGGAGGGAGGACCUCAUUAAUCAGGUAGAGAUUGCUUCGGUCGGCUUCUACUAGAAAAUACUCACGAUAUUUGUGUAUUCACAUGAUGAUAAAAACUUAAGUUCCUCUUUAUCAUUAAAGAUUUCUGCAAAUCACUAGUCUCGAAAAUUGAUCUCCUUUACUUGUACGACCAAAAAAAUAUUUAUAGGGUGAGAAGUAAUAAAAAUAAUGAAUAUUCAUAAACUUGAGCAUUAAUCUUUAAUAGUAGCACACCCACCAUCAAGCGGGGCAGCUGGUCAAGGUCUCAAGCGGCCGAGAAGGGUACUCCCCAUGUCCAAUGACCAGCUGGAGCACCGCCAUGAUAUUUAUCGUCGUCCAUCGCCACAGCAAAGCACGAUCUCUAGGUCCACCACUGUUUGUAAUAAUAUUAUAAUUAGCUUUAUUUGAUUUUUUCAAGAAAACACAAAAGAGCUUGCAUUUCAUUGGAUUGAAAAGAGAGCUUUACCUUUAUAUUUGCACUCUCUAAUGUGCAGGAAUCAACAAUGAAAAGAAAAGAUGGGCCACAUAACAAGGAAGGUUAGAAACCUGCCAAGAUGGUUAAAACAAAACAUAUAUGUAAUCCAACAAGGUGAUCCGUUACUAAUGAUGAAUAUUUUGUGUGUGCUAUCACAACAAAAUUAAAACAAAAAAUGCAACAGUUCCAGUUAGGCGUUGGAGGUUCCUAAUUGAUUUUAGCUUCAACGAUAAAACGUAUUUUAAAUUGUUAUCUUAUUGAUGCAAUUCAAGACAAUCAACAAAAAUGGCAAGAUUGGAAGGAGAAUGGAACUUCAAGACAAGAAAAAGAUACAACCUCCAAUCAUAAAUGGAGAUGUGCCAGACUUUGCGGCUACACACAAAGGAGAAACUUUGAUCUAUGCGAAGUAAGAAAAUCUCCACAAAGUUUCACCCUUAUGCAGGUUAUCAUCCAUUUGAUUUAGUUACAGUUCUCAGUUCAAUUUCUAAAUUUUAAGAAUGCACAACUGGUAUUGCAGUAUACAGGAAGCAACAUUAUGUACCUUGCUUAUGAUUUGCACAUCAGUUCUGCUAUCUAUGUGCAGCUCAAAUAUUUCAAAGCAUGAAAACUUACCUUCAUUAACUCGGUGGUUUUGAUGUAGUAAAGUUGUAUCUCACACAUUUUACCAUAAAACAAGUGGUUAUAAAGUUCGGACGCCCUUGCAUUUCCAUAUCUUUGAGUGUGGCUAAUUUUAAUUGCUCUAUGAAAUCACAAAAACAUGUUACAUUUUGUUCUAUCUAUAGCUAAGUAUAACACGUAUGCAUGCAUUGUGGCUAAAGCAAAAAAUAUUUUUCCAUUCCCACAAGGAGAAAUAAAGUGCUUAAGCCGGAGAUGAAACAAUAUCUUACUUCUACUAAUUAGGAUUUAUGUUUAUGUAGGGAAAGUAACUCAACCAAAAGGGGGAAAUAUGACAGAGUUGGGAAAACAAAAAAUGGGGACCUGCAGGUCGACCUUCGAAGAAUGAUGUCGGUGUGGAGGAUGAGGACCAUGUCCCGAGCUGCCUCGAGUGGAAAGAGCGACAACGCUCUUGCUUGCACGCUUGGGGAAGAGAACCUCGCCGCCAUCCUCACACCCAAGAUGGAAACCAGAUACUGUCCCUGUGGCAGCACCAGUUGCGGAGUGGCUUGAGGUGAGGACGAGGAACCUAAAGGCAGCGAACAAGAGAGCAAGUUGAUGGGAGGAGCAGCAAUUUUUGGGUGAGCAGAGAGAAUAAGGAAAGGAGAAUGGGG